GACGAACGCUGGCGGCGUGCUUAACACAUGCAAGUCGAACGGGAGUAUCAAAGAAGCUUGCUUUUAAGAUACUUUAGUGGCGGACGGGUGAGUAACGCGUGAGGAGCUGUCCUAUGCAGGGGGACAACAGUUGGAAACGGCUGCUAAUACCCCAUAAGCCGAGAGGUAAAAGGAUUUAUCCGGCAAAGGAGGCACUCGCGUCCUAUCAGCUAGUAGGUUGGGUAACGGCCGACCUAGGCGAAGACGGGUAGCCGGCCUGAGAGGGCGAACGGCAGCACUGGAACUGAGAUACGGUCCAGGCUCCUACGGGAGGCAGCAGUGGGGAAUAUUGGGCAAUGGGGGGAACCCUGACCCAGCGACGCCGCGUGGGUGAAGAAAUCCUUCGGGAUGUAAAGCCCUGUUGUAUGGGAAGAGUAGAAGACGGUACCAUACGAGGAAGCCCCGGCAAACUACGUGCCAGCCGCCGCCGUAA
RNAcentral lists this ribosomal RNA (472 nucleotides) under uncultured bacterium. Its description in RNAcentral is "partial 16S ribosomal RNA". It matches the Rfam family "Bacterial small subunit ribosomal RNA", at positions 28 to 523 of the family's 1533-position model. The record is from RNAcentral.